This 400-nucleotide ribosomal RNA is filed under the name uncultured bacterium. Its description in RNAcentral is "partial 16S ribosomal RNA". It matches the Rfam family "Bacterial small subunit ribosomal RNA", at positions 360 to 774 of the family's 1533-position model. The record is from RNAcentral.
AAUCUUCCGCAAUGGGCGCAAGCCUGACGGAGCAACGCCGCGUGAGUGAAGAAGGUUUUCGGAUUGUAAAACUCUGUCCAUGGGGAAGAAACAAAUGACGGUACCCGUGGAGGAAGCUCCGGCUAACUACGUGCCAGCAGCCGCGGUAAAACGUAGGGGGCAAGCGUUGUCCGGAAUUACUGGGCGUAAAGGGCGUGUAGGCGGCUAGUCAAGUCAAUAGUGAAACCCGACGGCUCAACCGUCGGCUGGCUGUCGAAACUGACUAGCUUGAGUGCAGGAGAGGAGAGUGGAAUUCCCAGUGUAGCGGUGAAAUGCGUAGAUACUGGGAGGAACACCAGUGGCGAAGGCGGCUCUCUGGCCUGCAACUGACGCUGAGGCGCGAAAGCGUGGGUAGCGAACA